RNAcentral lists this ribosomal RNA (799 nucleotides) under uncultured bacterium. RNAcentral's name for it is "bacterial SSU rRNA". It matches the Rfam family "Bacterial small subunit ribosomal RNA", at positions 60 to 839 of the family's 1533-position model. The record is from RNAcentral.
AGUCGAGCGGACAGAUGGGAGCUUGCUCCCUGAUGUUAGCGGCGGACGGGUGAGUAACACGUGGGUAACCUGCCUGUAAGACUGGGAUAACUCCGGGAAACCGGGGCUAAUACCGGAUGCUUGAUUGAACCGCAUGGUUCAAUUAUAAAAGGUGGCUUUUAGCUACCACUUACAGAUGGACCCGCGGCGCAUUAGCUAGUUGGUGAGGUAACGGCUCACCAAGGCGACGAUGCGUAGCCGACCUGAGAGGGUGAUCGGCCACACUGGGACUGAGACACGGCCCAGACUCCUACGGGAGGCAGCAGUAGGGAAUCUUCCGCAAUGGACGAAAGUCUGACGGAGCAACGCCGCGUGAGUGAUGAAGGUUUUCGGAUCGUAAAACUCUGUUGUUAGGGAAGAACAAGUACCGUUCGAAUAGGGCGGUACCUUGACGGUACCUAACCAGAAAGCCACGGCUAACUACGUGCCAGCAGCCGCGGUAAUACGUAGGUGGCAAGCGUUGUCCGGAAUUAUUGGGCGUAAAGCGCGCGCAGGCGGUUUCUUAAGUCUGAUGUGAAAGCCCCCGGCUCAACCGGGGAGGGUCAUUGGAAACUGGGGAACUUGAGUGCAGAAGAGGAGAGUGGAAUUCCACGUGUAGCGGUGAAAUGCGUAGAGAUGUGGAGGAACACCAGUGGCGAAGGCGACUCUCUGGUCUGUAACUGACGCUGAGGCGCGAAAGCGUGGGGAGCGAACAGGAUUAGAUACCCUGGUAGUCCACGCCGUAAACGAUGAGUGCUAAGUGUUAGAGGGUUUCCGCCCU